GGGGGUUGCUGGCUUGUUUGUCAGCUCUCCUGAAAUACAUUAGCGGUGGACAAGCAAGGCCUUCCGACGUGAUAAUGAUCGUCGUGGGGCGGAGCAUCAACGUCUGUCUGCUUCUAAAUCCCAGAUGCCUUAGCUAGACAUCAUUUCGAACGCUUGACCUCAAAUCAGGUAGGACUACCCGCUGAACUUAAGCAUAUCAAUAAGCGGAGGAAAAGAAACUAACAAGGAUUCCCCUAGUAACUGCGAGUGAAGCGGGAAGAGCUCAAAUUUUGAAUCUGGCGGUCUUUGGCCGUCCGAGUGUAUCUAGAG
RNAcentral lists this ribosomal RNA (309 nucleotides) under Imleria badia. RNAcentral's name for it is "eukaryotic LSU rRNA". The stretch from base 155 to 309 matches the Rfam family "Eukaryotic large subunit ribosomal RNA", at positions 1 to 155 of the family's 3401-position model. The record is from RNAcentral. Lineage: Eukaryota; Fungi; Basidiomycota; Agaricomycetes; Boletales; Boletaceae.